UCUGAAACUGCAAGUGCUUUGACACAGACUCUCCUCAAUUAGAGGCCUGUUCAGUGCCUAGCAUAACAGGUCUACAACAUAGCUGGUGCCUCUGAGCCCUACUGUAAUAAAUGAUUUGGAAUGUAAGCCUGAAGAUGGCACCAGUUGUAGGACUGCUACAGGUCCCGAUGAGGAAAAGGGAAUUGAAGCUUUUGGAUCCGAGCUAUUCUGAACCUUGAAACUCUGCAGGAAUAGGUGUAUCUUAGCAGUCCUUUCACAGGCCCAAGGACUGGAAAGCGGUGAAUGGAGAGGACAGACCGUGGAUCUUCAUCCAGCAUCAACAGAAGGGAAGCAUCAUUUGGGCAGGAGAGUGUCUGGAGGUUGGUGGGAUCAUCUGUGCUCUCCUUUGGUCACAGAAAGAUGGAGAAACGCCAUUAAGCUGAUUUGUUCAGGCAGCCACAUGCAAGAUGGAAACCCAGAAAAAACAAGGAAAUGAGAAGUUGCCAUUCUUAACAGU
This 496-nucleotide long non-coding RNA is filed under the name Struthio camelus australis. RNAcentral's name for it is "lncRNA (ENSSCUG00000008648.1)". The record is from RNAcentral. Lineage: Eukaryota; Metazoa; Chordata; Aves; Struthioniformes; Struthionidae.